GAUGAACGCUGACAGAAUGCUUAACACAUGCAAGUCUUUGGCGAAUCUGUGCUUGCACAGGCUAGCCAAGGCGGACGGGUGAGUAACGCGUAAAGAACUUGCCCUGCAGACAGGGAUAACAGACGGAAACGACUGAUAACACCUGAUACAGUUGCCGGCACGCAUGUGCCUGGCAAUGAAAAGAGAUGCUGCAGGAGAGCUUUGCGUCCUAUUAGCUUGUUGGUGAGGUGACGGCUCACCAAGGCGAUGAUAGGUAGCCGGCCUGAGAGGGUGAACGGCCACAAGGGGACUGAGAUUCGGCCCUUACUCCUACGGGAGGCAGCAGUGGGGAAUAUUGGACAAUGGGGGCAACCCUGAUCCAGCAAUUCUGUGUGCACGAAGAAGGUUUUCGGAUUGUAAAGUGCUUUCAGCAGGGAAGAAGAAAGUGACGGUACCUGCAGAAGAAGCGACGGCUAAAUACGUG
RNAcentral lists this ribosomal RNA (463 nucleotides) under uncultured bacterium. RNAcentral describes it as "partial 16S ribosomal RNA". It matches the Rfam family "Bacterial small subunit ribosomal RNA", at positions 28 to 507 of the family's 1533-position model. The record is from RNAcentral.